GUGGGGAAUUUUGGACAAUGGGCGCAAGCCUGAUCCAGCCAUGCCGCGUGUGUGAAGAAGGUCUUCGGAUUGUAAAGCACUUUAAGUUGGGAGGAAGGGCAGUAAGUUAAUACCUUGCUGUUUUGACGUUACCGACAGAAUAAGCACCGGCUAACUUCGUGCCAGCAGCCGCGGUAAUACGAAGGGUGCAAGCGUUAAUCGGAAUUACUGGGCGUAAAGCGCGCGUAGGUGGUUUUGUAAGUUGGAGGUGAAAUCCCCGGGCUCAACCUGGGAACUGCCUCCAAAACUGCAUGACUAGAGUACGGUAGAGGGUAGUGGAAUUUCCUGUGUAGCGGUGAAAUGCGUAGAUAUAGGAAGGAACACCAGUGGCGAAGGCGACUACCUGGACUGAUACUGACACUGAGGUGCGAAAGCGUGGGGAGCAAACAGGAUUAGAAACCCCGGUAGUCC
This 450-nucleotide ribosomal RNA is filed under the name uncultured bacterium. RNAcentral describes it as "bacterial SSU rRNA". It matches the Rfam family "Bacterial small subunit ribosomal RNA", at positions 354 to 796 of the family's 1533-position model. The record is from RNAcentral.